AUGUAAUCUGAUCGGAUUAAGUAUGAGUCAUUGUUUAAUAGGAAAGACUCUUAGGAAAGAAGAUGAGUUAGUUAGUGAAGCAGGAAUAAGAAUAAUAGCAAAAUAAUGCUAUUGGGAAGAAAGACUGAUCCAGCUCAAGACGAGUGUCUCAAGAAGCUUGAGGAUAUUUCAGAAUCAACAAAUACUAUUGAGAGAAAGAUUAUGAAAAUUGAACAAGAGCUGGAGGGGAUUGAAAAGUCUGUUAGAUGUACUAGCUGACAGGAAGUCAAAAGGUGGUCUAACUGGUAUUGUGUUAGUUAAUGGACGGCCACAACCAAAAUACUUCAAGUGUAUGAGUGGUUACGUUGUACAGGUACACCAUAGU
Molecule: long non-coding RNA, 364 nt
Organism: Amphimedon queenslandica
Lineage: Eukaryota; Metazoa; Porifera; Demospongiae; Haplosclerida; Niphatidae
Exons: 3
Source: RefSeq, a predicted model, not a curated record